RNAcentral lists this ribosomal RNA (432 nucleotides) under uncultured Sphingobacteriales bacterium. Its description in RNAcentral is "bacterial SSU rRNA". It matches the Rfam family "Bacterial small subunit ribosomal RNA", at positions 954 to 1382 of the family's 1533-position model. Lineage: Bacteria; Pseudomonadati; Bacteroidota; Sphingobacteriia; Sphingobacteriales. The record is from RNAcentral.
AUGAUACGCGAGGAACCGUUUAACCUGGGUUUAAAUGCAGGACGCAAGUCACGUGAAAGCGAGACCCUCCUUCGGGACGGACUGCAAGGUGCUGCAUGGUUGUCGUCAGCUCGUGCCGUGAGGUGUCGGGUUAAGUCCCAUAACGAGCGCAACCCUCAUCGUUAGUUACCAGCGGAUCAUGCCGGGGACUCUAACGAGACUGCCACCGUAAGGUGAGAGGAAGGUGGGGAUGACGUCAAAUCAGCACGGCCCUUAUAUCCAGGGCUACACACGUGUUACAAUGGCCAGUACAAAGGGCAGCUACCUGGUGACAGGAUGCUAAUCUCGAAAACUGGUCUCAGUUCGGAUCGAAGUCUGCAACUCGACUUCAUGAAGUCGGAAUCGCUAGUAAUCGCGGAUCAGAACGCCGCGGUGAAUACGUUCUCGGGGUUU